Molecule: microRNA precursor, 102 nt
Filed under: Marmota monax (woodchuck)
Lineage: Eukaryota; Metazoa; Chordata; Mammalia; Rodentia; Sciuridae
Source: RNAcentral
AGUGUGAUGGCUGGAUUAUAUGGCAAAACUAUGGUUAGUUUUGAAGAAAUUGCCAAAUUGUCUUCCAAAGUGGCUGUACUAUUUUGCAUUUCUGCCAACAGU